CAGCCGCCACGGGAAUACGAAGGGGGCUAGCGUUGCUCGGAAUUACUGGGCGUAAAGGGAGCGUAGGCGGACAUUUAAGUCAGGGGUGAAAUCCCAGAGCUCUACUCUGGAACUGCCUUUGAUACUGGGUGUCUUGAGUGUGAUAGAGGUAUGUGGAACUCCGAGUGUAGAGGUGAAAUUCGUAGAUAUUCGGAAGAACACCAGUGGCGAAGGCGACAUACUGGAUCAUUACUGACGCUGAGGCUCGAAAGCGUGGGGAGCAAACAGGAUUAGAUACCCGCGUAGUCCCUGUCUCUUAUAC
This 301-nucleotide ribosomal RNA is filed under the name uncultured bacterium. RNAcentral describes it as "partial 16S ribosomal RNA". It matches the Rfam family "Bacterial small subunit ribosomal RNA", at positions 509 to 807 of the family's 1533-position model. The record is from RNAcentral.